This 478-nucleotide ribosomal RNA is filed under the name uncultured bacterium. RNAcentral's name for it is "partial 16S ribosomal RNA". It matches the Rfam family "Bacterial small subunit ribosomal RNA", at positions 28 to 523 of the family's 1533-position model. The record is from RNAcentral.
GACGAACGCUGGCGGCGUGCCUAACACAUGCAAGUCGAGCGGAGAUUGCAGUAAUGUAAUCUUAGCGGCGGACGGGUGAGUAACGCGUGGGCAACCUACCUUUAUCUGGGGGAUAACACAGGGAAACUUGUGCUAAUACCGCAUAAAAUCAUAAGAAGACAUCUUCUAAUGAUCAAAGGAGUAAUCCGGAUAGAGAUGGGCCCGCGUCCGAUUAGCUAGUUGGUGGUGUAACGGACCACCAAGGCGACGAUCGGUAGCCGAACUGAGAGGUUGAUCGGCCACAUUGGGACUGAGACACGGCCCAGACUCCUACGGGAGGCAGCAGUGGGGAAUAUUGCGCAAUGGGGGAAACCCUGACGCAGCAACGCCGCGUGAAGGAUGAAGGUUUUCGGAUCGUAAACUUCUUUGAUGAGGGACGAAUAAAUGACGGUACCUCAAAAACAAGCCACGGCUAACUACGUGCCAGCAGCCGCCGCUG